This 465-nucleotide ribosomal RNA is filed under the name uncultured bacterium. RNAcentral describes it as "bacterial SSU rRNA". It matches the Rfam family "Bacterial small subunit ribosomal RNA", at positions 56 to 507 of the family's 1533-position model. The record is from RNAcentral.
UGCAAGUCGAGGGCAGCACGAAUCAAGCUUGCUUGUAGUUGGUGGCGACCGGCGCACGGGUGCGUAACAGGUGUGCAAUCUGUCCAUAAAUCGGGGAAUAGCCCAGCGGAAAAGUUGGGAUUUAAAUGCUCCAUGUGAGCAGGGGAGGCAUCUCCUUUGUUUGAAACGUAAGGAUUAUGGGUGAGCACGCUUCUGAUUAGGUAGUUGGUGAGGUAACGGCUCACCAAGCCGACGAUCAGUAGGGGUUCUGAGAGGAAGGUCCCCCACAUUGGAACUGAGACACGGUCCAAACUCCUACGGGAGGCAGCAGUGAGGAAUAUUGGUCAAUGGACGAAAGUCUGAACCAGCCAAGUCGCGUGAAGGAUGAAGGUUCUAUGGAUUGUAAACUUCUUUUGUCUGAGGGUAAAAAAGCGGACGUGUCCGUUCUUGCAAGUAUCAGACGAAUAAGCAUCGGCUAACUCCGUG